UACGUAGGGUGCAAGCGUUAAUCGGAAUUACUGGGCGUAAAGCGUGCGCAGGCGGUUAUGCAAGACAGAUGUGAAAUCCCCGGGCUUAACCUGGGAACCGCAUUUGUGACUGCAUAGCUGGAGUACGGCAGAGGGGGAUGGAAUUCCGCGUGUAGCAGUGAAAUGCGUAGAUAUGCGGAGGAACACCGAUGGCGAAGGCAGUCCCCUGGGUCGAUACUGACGCUGAGGUGCGAAAGCGUGGGGAGCAAACAGG
RNAcentral lists this ribosomal RNA (253 nucleotides) under uncultured bacterium. RNAcentral describes it as "partial 16S ribosomal RNA". It matches the Rfam family "Bacterial small subunit ribosomal RNA", at positions 524 to 776 of the family's 1533-position model. The record is from RNAcentral.